Molecule: long non-coding RNA, 1501 nt
Organism: Centropristis striata (black sea bass)
Lineage: Eukaryota; Metazoa; Chordata; Actinopteri; Perciformes; Serranidae
Exons: 4
Source: RefSeq, a predicted model, not a curated record
UCAAAGUGCUAUUUGCAAACCACCUGUCUCAUGUGAACCAUAUGGCAGCAGAUGCUCCCCCACAACAGCUUAUUUUCAAUGUAUUCAUCUCUCAAAAAACACAAUAAUAUAAACAUGAAUUUGGUCAAAACCAAGUCACUGACAGAAGUUGAAUGUCAAUUAACACACAAUAUAUGCCCUAUGAAUUUCUUGUGGUAGUGGAUGGUGUGCACCUCUGUGUGGACAGGUUCACCACAGACAUCUCUGCAGCUGUGGUUCAGGUAGUAUGAUUGAGCACAGCUCACCUGUAUCUCUGGUAGUCUCCGUGUCUGAGGCCAUGUUGCUGCUGGGACUCCUUGAUUAUUUGCAAAACUGGAAAUCAAAGUUAAGCUCCACAGUGGCUCCUUUGCCAAUGUCUAAAGCCACUUUGACUGGAGCCAACACUGGGUGCAACCUCAGAACCUAAAGUCAACAGUGAACCAAGUCAGUGAUCAAUACUUUGUAUCCAGAGAAUCACAUCACCAACAGAUGGCAACAAGUGGGUGAGCUUUGGUUCACUACCUUUCUCUGCAGCAGCUUCUGCUUGCUGUCUUCUUUCUUGAGCUGCUGCAGUGAGCUGGACAGAAAGGCCAUCACGCCACGGUCCAUGUUCCCGGUUAUUGAGACGACGUGAGGAACUGACUUACGGCCAUCUCGACACUGAAGUGUGUUUAGAAAGACAAAUAAAACUGCAUGAAGAAAAGCAACAGUAGUACGUCUCCAGAGUCUCCUGUCCCCACGGGAAGCUGUAGAUGAUCCUCACACCACGAGACGCCGCCUUCUCGAGUUCCUCCUCUGGGACGUCAUUACUGCUGAAGUCUGAUGGAGACAGGGCAAACUGGAAAGACACAGUCUCUGCCGUGUCCAGUGAUCGAGCCACUGGGAAGAAGUACGAGGAGAGCAGAACCACACCAGAGACGUCUGAGUCAUUUCAGCUGGGCUGCUAGAAGAACCAUUACAUUAUAGUUACAGUAGCACUAGAAAAAACUUUAUUUGAGCCGUUUACCGAUUAAUAUUACAAUGUUGUAAUGAAGCACAGCAAAGCCCUUUCUCAUAAAAGCACAAAUGUCUAUUAUAGCAGAAAACUGGGACCAGUUCGCCCUCUAAUGGUUAAAUAAUGAACAGUGUACAACAAAAUGCAAAUACAGAUUUAAGAUGUUAUUUUACUCAACAUCCACAUUCUUGUCAUUUUAUAACAUACAUGCGCAAAUGACAAACUCAUCAAGCAAUAUUAAGUAUGAAGGAUCAAAUAUAAUAUCUUCUGGAGAAUCUGUAGUGCAAGAGUAAACUUUUUUUUUUACAAGAAUGCAUCGACAAACAGUCAGACAGACAGGAGAUGAAGCCUCACCAACCAGAACCAUCUGAGGGUUGGAAACACAGGCCAGCCUCAGCCAGGCCGAAGGGCAGCUUCCUGUUCACCAGCUCCAACGAGGGGACAAAUUGCUCCAAGGCACCUGUGAAAUAAAAAGACUCUUGUUGCAGA